RNAcentral lists this ribosomal RNA (253 nucleotides) under uncultured bacterium. RNAcentral describes it as "partial 16S ribosomal RNA". It matches the Rfam family "Bacterial small subunit ribosomal RNA", at positions 524 to 776 of the family's 1533-position model. The record is from RNAcentral.
UACGUAGGUGGCAAGCGUUGUCCGGAUUUAUUGGGUUUAAAGGGUGCGUAGGCGGUCCUAUAAGUCAGUGCUGAAAUAUCCCGGCUUAACCGGGAGGGUGGCAUUGAUACUGUAGGACUUGAGUAAAGUUGAGGUUGGCGGAAUUGACGGUGUAGCGGUGAAAUGCUUAGAUAUCGUCAAGAACACCUAUUGCGAAGGCAGCUAACUAAGCUUUAACUGACGCUGAGGCACGAAAGUGUGGGGAGCGAACAGG